GCGGGUUUACGACCUCGAUGUUGGAUCAGGGUAUCCCAGUGGUGCAGCCGCUACUAAAGGUUCGUUUGUUCAACGAUUAAAACCCUACGUGAUCUGAGUUCAGACCGGAGUAAUCCAGGUCAGUUUCUAUCUAUAAAGAGCUUUUUCUAGUACGAAAGGACCGAAAAAACAUGGCCUAUGCACCAUGCAAGCCAUACUUAAUAAUUUAUGACCCAAACUUAAUAAAUAUUUAACCUAUUAAAAAACUCUAAACAAGAGCAGUU
Molecule: ribosomal RNA, 263 nt
Filed under: Hyla orientalis
Lineage: Eukaryota; Metazoa; Chordata; Amphibia; Anura; Hylidae
Description: partial 16S ribosomal RNA
Rfam family: Bacterial large subunit ribosomal RNA
Source: RNAcentral